GUGCUCACUUCGGCAGCAUAUAUAGUAAAAUUGGAAUGAUACAGAGAAGAUUAGCAUGGCCCCUGUGCAAGAUGACAUGCAAAUUCAUAAAGUGUUCCAUUAAGAA
RNAcentral lists this small nuclear RNA (106 nucleotides) under Mandrillus leucophaeus (drill). Lineage: Eukaryota; Metazoa; Chordata; Mammalia; Primates; Cercopithecidae. The record is from RNAcentral.